GACGAACGCUGGCGGCGUGCUUAACACAUGCCAGUCGAACGGAAAGGCCCUGCUUUUGUGGGGUGCUCGAGUGGCGAACGGGUGAGUAACACGUGAGUAACCUGCCCUUGACUUUGGGAUAACUUCAGGAAACUGGGGCUAAUACCGGAUAGGAGCUCCUGCUGCAUGGUGGGGGUUGGAAAGUUUCGGCGGUUGGGGAUGGACUCGCGGCUUAUCAGCUUGUUGGGGGGGUAGUGGCUUACCAAGGCUUUGACGGGUAGCCGGCCUGAGAGGGUGGCCGGCCACAUUGGGACUGAGAUGCGGCCCAGACUCCUACGGGAGGCAGCAGUGGGGAAUAGUGCACAAUGGGCGGAAGCCUGAUGCAGCGACGCCGCGUGGGGGAUGACGGCCUUUGGGUUGGAAACCGCUUUCGCCUGUGACGAAGCGUGAGUGACGGUAAUGGGUAAAGAAGCACCGGCUAACUACGUG
RNAcentral lists this ribosomal RNA (468 nucleotides) under uncultured bacterium. RNAcentral describes it as "partial 16S ribosomal RNA". It matches the Rfam family "Bacterial small subunit ribosomal RNA", at positions 28 to 507 of the family's 1533-position model. The record is from RNAcentral.